AGUGAACGCUGGCGGCGUGCCUAAUACAUGCAAGUCGAACGAUGAAGUCCUAGCUUGCUAGGAUGGAUUAGUGGCGCACGGGUGAGUAAUAUAUAGUUAAUCUGCCCUACACAGAGGUACAACAGUUGGAAACGACUGCUAAUACCUCAUACUCCUAUUUGACAUAAGUUAAAUAGGGAAAGUCUUUUCGGUGUAGGAUGAGACUAUAUCGUAUCAGCUAGUUGGUAAGGUAAUGGCUUACCAAGGCUAUGACGCGUAACUGGUCUGAGAGGAUGAUCAGUCACAUUGGAACUGAGACACGGUCCAAACUCCUACGGGAGGCAGCAGUAAGGAAUAUUGCGCAAUGGGGGAAACCCUGACGCAGCAACGCCGCGUGGAGGAUGACACUUUUCGGAGCGUAAACUCCUUUUAUCAGGAAAGAAUAAUGACGGUACCUGAUGAAUAAGCACCGGCUAACUCCGUG
Molecule: ribosomal RNA, 463 nt
Filed under: uncultured bacterium
Lineage: Bacteria
Description: partial 16S ribosomal RNA
Rfam family: Bacterial small subunit ribosomal RNA
Source: RNAcentral